RNAcentral lists this ribosomal RNA (468 nucleotides) under uncultured bacterium. Its description in RNAcentral is "bacterial SSU rRNA". It matches the Rfam family "Bacterial small subunit ribosomal RNA", at positions 330 to 792 of the family's 1533-position model. The record is from RNAcentral.
ACCAGACUCCUACGGGAGGCAGCAGUGGGGAAUCUUCCGCAAUGGGCGAAAGCCUGACGGAGCAACGCCGCGUGAUCGAAUGAAGGCCUUCGGGUUGUAAAGAUCUGUUGACAGGGACGAAUAAGCAAUGCGAAUAGUUUUGUGUAUGACGGUACCUGUUUAGAAAGCUCCGGCUAACGACGUGCCAGCAGCCGCGGUAAUACGUAGGGAGCAAGCGUUGUCCGGAUUUAUUGGGUUUAAAGGGUGCGUAGGCGGGCUUUUAAGUCAGCGGUAAAAAUUCGGGGCUCAACCCCGUCCGGCCGUUGAAACUGGGGGCCUUGAGUGGGCGAGAAGAAGGCGGAAUGCGUGGUGUAGCGGUGAAAUGCAUAGAUAUCACGCAGAACUCCGAUUGCAAAGGCAGCGCACCGGCGCCCUACUGACGCUCAGGCACGAAAGCGUGGGUAUCGAACAGGAUUAGAUACCCGAGUA